RNAcentral lists this ribosomal RNA (254 nucleotides) under uncultured bacterium. Its description in RNAcentral is "partial 16S ribosomal RNA". It matches the Rfam family "Bacterial small subunit ribosomal RNA", at positions 524 to 776 of the family's 1533-position model. The record is from RNAcentral.
UACGUAGGGUCCAAGCGUUGUCCGGAUUUAUUGGGCGUAAAGAGCUCGUAGGCGGUUUCGUAAGUCGGAUGUGAAAACUCAGGGCUCAACCCGGAGACGCCAUCUGAUACUGCGAUGACUUGAGUCUGGUAGGGGAACACGGAAUUCCUGGUGUAGCGGUGAAAUGCGCAGAUAUCAGGAGGAACACCGAUGGCGAAGGCAGUGUUCUGGGCCAGUACUGACGCUGAGGAGCGAAAGCGUGGGGAGCAAACGGG